GGCACUGUGACCGAGUGGACGAAGGUAACCGCCUGCAAAGCGGUACAACGAUACGUCGUGGGUUCGAAUCCCACCAGUGCCUCAA
Molecule: transfer RNA, 85 nt
Filed under: Spirochaetota bacterium
Lineage: Bacteria; Pseudomonadati; Spirochaetota
Description: Spirochaetes bacterium tRNA-Cys
Rfam family: tRNA
About the family: Transfer RNA (tRNA) molecules are approximately 80 nucleotides in length. Their secondary structure includes four short double-helical elements and three loops (D, anti-codon, and T loops).
Source: RNAcentral